Molecule: ribosomal RNA, 165 nt
Filed under: uncultured bacterium
Lineage: Bacteria
Description: partial 16S rRNA
Rfam family: Bacterial small subunit ribosomal RNA
Source: RNAcentral
UAGGGAAUCUUCCACAAUGGACGCAAGUCUGAUGGAGCAACGCCGCGUGAGUGAAGAAGGUCUUCGGAUCGUAAAGCUCUGUUGUAAGAGAAGAACGUGUGUGAGAGUGGAAAGUUCACACAGUGACGGUAACUUACCAGAAAGGGACGGCUAACUACGUACCAG